Molecule: ribosomal RNA, 1750 nt
Filed under: Toxoplasma gondii ARI
Lineage: Eukaryota; Apicomplexa; Conoidasida; Eucoccidiorida; Sarcocystidae
Description: large subunit ribosomal RNA
Source: RNAcentral
UUGAGACCUGCUACAGCCUCAGGAUGCGACGAGCCGACAUCGAGGUGCCAAACCUCCCCGUCAAUAUGGACUAUCGGGAGAGAUCAGCCUGUUAUCCCUAGAGUAACUUUUAUCCGUUAAGCGACAAUCCUACCACUUAGAGUUGUCGGAUCACUAAGACCGACUUUCGUCCUUGUUUAAGUAGUUACUCUCACAAUCAAGCCUUCUUAUUAUUUAACCUUUACAUUUAUUAAUUUUAAUAUUUUAUUUUUAUUAAAAUAAAAGACCUUUGUGCACCUCCGUUACUCUUUAGGAGGCAACCGCCCCAGUCAAACUACCUUUUUGAAAUUUUUAUAUAAUAUGAUAAAAAAAUUAUAGUUAGAAAUUAAAAUUUAUUAAAGUGGUGUUUCAUUAAUAGUAUAAACUUCCCACUUACACUAUAUAAAUAAAAUUUAAUUUCAAUUUCAAAUUGCAGUAAAGCUUCAUAGGGUCUUUCUGUCCUGAUGUAAAAAGUCUGUAUCUUUACAAACAUUUCUAUUUCACCGAAUAUUUCUUAAAGACAGUGUUCAAGUCGUUACACCUUUCGUGCGGGUCGGAACUUACCCGACAAUGAAUUUCGCUACCUUAGGACCGUUAUAGUUACAGCCGCCGUUUACUAGAGCUUAUAAAAAAAUUAUUUGUAUAACAUAAAAAUUUUUUUUAACUUACUAGCACUGGGCAGGUGUCAGUAUCCUUACUUCAUAAUUACAUUUUGCGGAUACCUGUGUUUUUGAUAAACAGUCGCUUGAACUUUUUAAUUGCAGCCUUAUAGGCAUCCUUUAUCCCGAAGUUACAGGAUUGUUUUGCCGAGUUCCUUAAAGAAAUUUAUUUCGUCCUCUUAGUACGUUAUAGUACCUACUCACUUGUGUCAGUUUUAGUACGGGCAUAUCUAUAAUUAUACAAUAUCAUUUUUCUAGCAAAAAUUUUAUUUCUAAGUAAAAAUCAUUUAUUAUAUUACUUAGAAUUUAUAUUUAGGUCACUACUUGUAUACUAUAUAAAUAUGGUUCAAGAAUAUUAACUUGAUUCCCAUCAAUUACAAUAAAUUUCUUAUCUUAGGCCCCGACUAACCCUAUGCGGUUUAUCCUUUCAUAGGAACCUUUUGAGUUUUUGAGGUAUUAGAUUCUUCUUAAUAUUUAAGUUACUUAAACCGACAUUCUCACUUCUACUUUAUUCACAAAAUUUAAUAACUUUGCUUUAUUUUAAUGUAGAACGCUCCCCUACCGAUCUAUUUUUAAUUAAUAGAUCCCAUUACUUCGAUAAAAAAAUAUUUUAUUGUUCAUUUUAGGUGCAGAAUUACUUUACCAGUAAGCUUUUACGCACUUUUUAAAGGAAAACUGCUUCUAAGCUAACCUUCUGGUUGUAUACGUAACAACUCCACAUCCUUUAAAAUUUUCGUUAUAUUUUUAUCUUAGUUUAUGGUCUGGGUUGUUUCCCUUUUGACUUAUAAGAUUAUCCCUAAAAGUCUCACUUAUUAUAAUGUUAAUAUAAAAAUAUUAUUAGUUUAUAGUGAUUUUAAAAACAGUGCUUUACCCUUUUUAUAUAUAUUAUAAUAGCUGCGCCUCAAUACAUUUCGGGGAGAACCAGCUAGCUCCAAAUUCGACAAGCAUUUCACAACUAACCUCAUUUCUUCUGAUAAUUUUGCAGCAUUAAUCAGUUCGAACUUCUAUAUAAAGUUAUUUAUAUUUCAUUCUGAACAAGGUUAUAUCAAUUGGAUUCGGGUUUUUGGUUAUAU